GACGAACGCUGGCGGCGUGCUUAACACAUGCAAGUCGAACGGAAAGGCCCUGCUUUUGUGGGCUGCUCGAGUGGCGAACGGGUGAGUAACACGUGAGUAACCUGCCCUUGACUUUGGGAUAACUUCAGGAAGCUGGGGCUAAUACCGGAUAGGAGCUCCUGCUGCAUGGUGGGGGUUGGAAAGUUUCGGCGGUUGGGGAUGGACUCGCCGCUUAUCAGCUUGUUGGUGGGGUAGUGGCAUACCAAGGCCUUGACGGGUAGCCGGCCUGCGAGGGUGAGCGGCCACACUGGGCCGGGGAUACGGCCCAGACUCCUACGGGAGGGAGGAGUGGGGAAUAGUGCACAAGGGGCGGAAGCCUGAUGCAGCAAAGCCGCGUGCGGGAUGACGGCCAGCGGGUUGGAAAGCGCUUCCGCCUGUGACGAAGCGUGAGUGACGGUAAUGGGUAAAGAAGCACCGGCUAACUACGUG
This 468-nucleotide ribosomal RNA is filed under the name uncultured bacterium. Its description in RNAcentral is "partial 16S ribosomal RNA". It matches the Rfam family "Bacterial small subunit ribosomal RNA", at positions 28 to 507 of the family's 1533-position model. The record is from RNAcentral.